UAUGUGAUCGUCUCUCGCAUAUCAAUAAGCGGAGGAAAAGAAACUAACGAGGAUUCCCCUAGUAACGGCGAGUGAAGCGGGAAGAGCUCAAAUUUGAAAUCUUAAAGGGUUUCCCUUUACGAAUUGUAGUUUAAAGAAGUGUUUUCUGUUGAGGUUUUGGUAAAAGUUCUUUGGAAUAGGACAUCAUAGAGGGUGAGAAUCCCGUAUUUGACCUUUACUUUCAACUUUGUGAUACACUUUCAAAGAGUCGGAUUGUUUGGGAACUGCAGUCCAAAAUGGGUGGUAAAUUUCAUCUAAAGCUAAAUAUUGGCGAGAGACCGAUAGCGAACAAGUACCGUGAGGAAAGAUGAAAAGAACUUUGAAAAGAGAGUUAAACAGUACGUGAAAUUGUCAAAAGGGAAGCGUUUGACACCAGUGUUGUUUUUCUGAAAAUCAAUUAAAGAACUGUUUAUGCUAAGUUGUUUAGACUUUAUCAGCUAUCUGUUUAGUUUUGAGCUUCUCUUUAAUGCACUUUUCAGUUAACAAGUCAACAUCAAUUUCUUUUGCUGUAAAAAAGCUUGAGGAAGGUGGCUUGAGAUUCGUCUUAAGUGUUUAUAGCCUCUUGCCUAUGCAGUCGGAGAGAUUGAGGUCUGCAGCGUAGAUCCUUCGGGGCUAGAUGCAUUUGUGCUAAGUUAUAGCAUUUUAUAGACAACUUGUUGACUAUGAUUUGUCUUGUAGCUUACUCGCUUAUGUUAUUUUACCUACGCUUAGGAUGUUGAAGAUAUGCGCGACACG
This 774-nucleotide ribosomal RNA is filed under the name uncultured Neocallimastigales. Its description in RNAcentral is "partial large subunit ribosomal RNA". It matches the Rfam family "Eukaryotic large subunit ribosomal RNA", at positions 24 to 644 of the family's 3401-position model. The record is from RNAcentral. Lineage: Eukaryota; Fungi; Neocallimastigomycota; Neocallimastigomycetes; Neocallimastigales.